Molecule: long non-coding RNA, 1222 nt
Organism: Pollicipes pollicipes
Lineage: Eukaryota; Metazoa; Arthropoda; Thecostraca; Pollicipedomorpha; Pollicipedidae
Exons: 3
Source: RefSeq, a predicted model, not a curated record
AGGAGAGGCUGCGCGGCUCUCGGCGGCGGACGUCCUCGGCUGGCCCAGCGGCUGCUCAUCAUCUGUGCGGCAUCGACUCCGGUCCCUCUGGCCCGUGUAAACUGUCGGUGGCCGACGUGACUUCGGACAAGCAACAGCAGGACAAAUGCAGCACCUUCUGACACUGCUGACCAUGGCAGCGGUCGCCGCUGCAGUCGCUGCCAAGCCUGGUUCUUGGGUAUGGCCAUCUAGCGAUGCAGAACGCUUUGCCAGCUUCUCACCUCGCUCGCUAGGUGGCCAAGCCGUCCGCAGCAGUCUGGGUCGCGCGAAUACCAGGUCCCGAGGGCGUCCUAUCAUCGCAUCUGACCGCGGGCCCGUUCGUGUUAACCCUGGAGGAACGGAAGGCCGAUCCAUUUCCAGCCGGCCGGUCCAGCCAGGUGCGCCCAGAGCGACACCAUCGGAGCAGCUCUCGCGCUUCGUGCUGCCUAAAGGAGACGUCGAGCGGCGGUGCCCUCUGAUCUCGAGCGAAGCCUGCCCGCCGCGACCUGCCGACCUUUCGACCUUGCGCGCGUGCGGUAACGACUCGGCAUGCCCCCGGGGCUCGCGGUGCUGCUACCACCCGUGUCUGACGCUGAGCCUGUGUCUGGCCCCGGAUGGUCGCGUCGUGGAGGGGUUGGCUCAAGGGCCGGACGGAAGUAUCGGGAGCGUGAGCCGGCCCGUGGUCGCGUGAGAAAUGUGAGCAAUCUUUCGAUACAUACAUAUAUAUAUGCGUGUGCGUGUGUGCGUGUGUGUGUGCGUGUGUGUGUGCGUGUGUAUGUGUGCGCGUGUGUGCGUGUGCGCGUGUGCGCGUAUGUGUGUGUGUGUGUGCGCGUGUGUGUCUACACCACCUGUCAAGUUGGCUCUCAGCGUGAGUCGCCCCGCGGCCGUUCCUUCGACGUGACAACAUGUGAUAUAAUGCAUUGGCAACGUGGAUUGGUGCAUACUGGGCCAUUGUUUCCAUCUUCAAAUAGAUAAAGUGGGUAGAUAAAUGAACGGAUGCAAAUAAAAGGAGGUGUCUAUUUUUCUUUGGCUCUAUAGCUGUUAAGCGUUGUUAACGUAAGCAAGCCCCAAAACCACGCCAAAGUUAGCAUACACAAUAUCCGCGGUGCGCCGGUUUUGCACGCUUGUUCGUCUGCAAACCUGCUCAUGGGUCAGGUGCUGCCUGUGAGAGAAAUAAAUGAACAGGAUGUGUGAACUGACUGAA